RNAcentral lists this long non-coding RNA (994 nucleotides) under Equus caballus (horse). RNAcentral's name for it is "lncRNA (ENSECAG00000045196.1)". Lineage: Eukaryota; Metazoa; Chordata; Mammalia; Perissodactyla; Equidae. The record is from RNAcentral.
GUGAAGCUGGUGAGUAAUUGGGCUAAAUAAGAAUUUUCCCCAGGUGAAAAUGGGGACCCGAACUGAAAAUGGAGGAAACCCACCUCCUGAGUCUUUGGUGAAAGAGUGAAGCUACAUUCCAGACUACGACUUUAUGACCUUUCUAUCACUUGGUAAGGAGUGAUCCCAAAAAGUGGCGUGAUCCUUGCAAGUGAGUAAGAUGCCUGCCUUCCUGGAGGCCCGGAGAAAUUGAGGGAGGGAAAGCGUCCUUCAAGAUGCGGAAUCACGCAAGGCAGUGGGACUAGGAAUCCCUUUUAAAGUUUCUCUAAAUCACUUAAAGUCAUCUAUCCUUCGUCAUGAGAAGAUACCUGUUGGAACAGAAGUAAAGAUCACUUAUUCACUGACGUGCCUAGCUUCUCAAUUUCCAAGUGUGAAACUACGUCAAGGAGAAUGCAAUAUGAACAGAAGUUGUGAGAGGGAAGAUGUUAAAGAGAAAGAUACAAUGAUCGGCAAACAACUGAAGAAAAUAGCUGCCUCUCUCUCCAGUCAGAUCACCUAAAUUAGCCAAGUUGAUAAUCAUAUGGAAAAGAAUCAACCUCAAUCUCACACCAUAUAUAAAAACUAACUUCAAAUGGAUCAUAAACUUAAGAAUUGCUUUUGUUGCUUUUUGUUUGCUUGCUGCUGUAGAAAUACAUCAGGACUAAUUCUGCGGAGUCUGUCUCCUUUGAAGUGACUGGCCACUGAUGUCUCCACUUCAUUUAUUUGUUUAAGUCUGGAUUCCUAUAAUGUGUCCUUCUGUAUGCAAAGCUUCAGAGUCAACCAGUGACUGGUCUUAAUUUUCAUUGAAACUGGAAAAAAUACAUGAUUUGCUGAGUGCUAAGAGGAAGUGAUGGUGUAUUUUGGUAAGAAACUUGAAAGCAGAGACAUUUUGAAGUAGACUUUUUUGGAGAAUGUAGGAAUAAGCUAAUUGAUAGAUGUGUCAACUAGAGUUGAGAUCUUCCUUUUUGAGCUCUAU